Non-coding RNA from Megalops atlanticus (tarpon), 78 nucleotides. The record is from the annotation of a GenBank genome assembly. Lineage: Eukaryota; Metazoa; Chordata; Actinopteri; Elopiformes; Megalopidae.
GGCAGUGUGGUCUAGUGGUAAGGAGCAGGGCUUGUAACCAAAAGGUUACUGGUUCGAUUCCCUGCUGAGGCACUGCUG